AAGUCGUAACAAGGUUUCCGUAGGUGAACCUGCGGAAGGAUCAUUAUCGAAUAAAUCUGGCGUGGUUUGUUGCUGGCUUGUACAAGCAUGUGCACACCCGUCACCUUUAUCUUUCCACCUGUGCACUCUUUGUAGGCUCUGGGAUUAUCUCUCGCGCACUUGUGCUGCGGAUGCGAAGGCUGUUGUGCCCUCACAGGCCAGCUUCCCUCGAAUGUCCCAGGUCUAUGUUUUAUUUAACACACCCCUGAAUGUUUAAAAGAAUGUUGAUUUCAAAGGGCUUUGCCCAUACGAAACUCAAUACAACUUUCAGCAACGGAUCUCUUGGCUCUC
RNAcentral lists this unclassified non-coding RNA (330 nucleotides) under Parasola conopilea. RNAcentral's name for it is "partial internal transcribed spacer region". The stretch from base 1 to 46 matches the Rfam family "Eukaryotic small subunit ribosomal RNA", at positions 1786 to 1831 of the family's 1831-position model. The record is from RNAcentral. RNAcentral also lists the same sequence under 1 other name. Lineage: Eukaryota; Fungi; Basidiomycota; Agaricomycetes; Agaricales; Psathyrellaceae.